This 126-nucleotide small RNA is filed under the name Marmota monax (woodchuck). The record is from RNAcentral. Lineage: Eukaryota; Metazoa; Chordata; Mammalia; Rodentia; Sciuridae.
GCCGGGCAUGGUGGUGCACGCCUGUAAUCCCAGCAGCUCGGGAGGCUGAGGCAGGAGGAUUGGGAGGUCAAAGCCAGCCUCAGCAAAAAGUGAGGUGCUAAGCAACUCAGCAAGACUCUGUCUCUA